RNAcentral lists this small RNA (83 nucleotides) under Marmota monax (woodchuck). The record is from RNAcentral. Lineage: Eukaryota; Metazoa; Chordata; Mammalia; Rodentia; Sciuridae.
GCUGGGUGCAGUGGCGCAUGCCUGUAAUCCCAGUGACUCAGGAGGCCGAGGUAGGAGGAUGGCAAGCUCAAAGCCAACCUCAG